ACACCGUUGGUGAAGUGGUUAUCAUGCUUGCCUUCCAUCCUGAGCUCAGGUAGAUUACACAUCCAGCAAGCGGCUCGGGUUCGAUUCCCGAACGGUGUA
Molecule: transfer RNA, 99 nt
Filed under: Lentinula edodes (shiitake mushroom)
Lineage: Eukaryota; Fungi; Basidiomycota; Agaricomycetes; Agaricales; Omphalotaceae
Description: tRNA-Gly
Rfam family: tRNA
About the family: Transfer RNA (tRNA) molecules are approximately 80 nucleotides in length. Their secondary structure includes four short double-helical elements and three loops (D, anti-codon, and T loops).
Source: RNAcentral